CCUUCGAUAGCUCAGUUGGUGGAGCAGAGGACUGUGGAUGUUUAGGUCGCUGGUUCGAAUCCGGCUCGAACGA
RNAcentral lists this transfer RNA (73 nucleotides) under Acropora cervicornis. Its description in RNAcentral is "tRNA-His". It matches the Rfam family "tRNA". Rfam says of the family: Transfer RNA (tRNA) molecules are approximately 80 nucleotides in length. Their secondary structure includes four short double-helical elements and three loops (D, anti-codon, and T loops). Lineage: Eukaryota; Metazoa; Cnidaria; Anthozoa; Scleractinia; Acroporidae. The record is from RNAcentral.